RNAcentral lists this ribosomal RNA (465 nucleotides) under Vreelandella stevensii. RNAcentral describes it as "partial 16S ribosomal RNA". It matches the Rfam family "Bacterial small subunit ribosomal RNA", at positions 338 to 795 of the family's 1533-position model. Lineage: Bacteria; Pseudomonadati; Pseudomonadota; Gammaproteobacteria; Oceanospirillales; Halomonadaceae. The record is from RNAcentral.
CCUACGGGUGGCUGCAGUGGGGAAUAUUGGACAAUGGGCGAAAGCCUGAUCCAGCCAUGCCGCGUGUGUGAAGAAGGCCUUCGGGUUGUAAAGCACUUUCAGUGGGGAAGAAAGCCUUGGGGCUAAUAUCCUCGAGGAAGGACAUCACCCACAGAAGAAGCACCGGCUAACUCCGUGCCAGCAGCCGCGGUAAUACGGAGGGUGCGAGCGUUAAUCGGAAUUACUGGGCGUAAAGCGCGCGUAGGCGGUCUGAUAAGCCGGUUGUGAAAGCCCCGGGCUCAACCUGGGAACGGCAUCCGGAACUGUCAGGCUAGAGUGCAGGAGAGGAAGGUAGAAUUCCCGGUGUAGCGGUGAAAUGCGUAGAGAUCGGGAGGAAUACCAGUGGCGAAGGCGGCCUUCUGGACUGACACUGACGCUGAGGUGCGAAAGCGUGGGUAGCAAACAGGAUUAGAUACCCUUGUAGUC